UCUCCGUUGGUGAACCAGCGGAGGGAUCAUUACAGGACUCGCAAGACUCCUACAACCCUGUGAACUUAACUAUAAGCACGUUGCUUCGGCGGGUGUCUCGGAGGGGGUUCUCCCUCCCCGAGACGCUAAACCCGCCGGCAGCCUAUUAUACUCUGUCUCUUUGCGUUGGCAUCUCGAGUACAAUCAAACAAGUUAAAACUUUCAACAACGGAUCUCUUGGUUCUG
This 225-nucleotide unclassified non-coding RNA is filed under the name plant metagenome. RNAcentral describes it as "partial contains small subunit ribosomal RNA, internal transcribed spacer 1, and 5.8S ribosomal RNA". The record is from RNAcentral.